GUAUUCAUAUGGCUGUUUACUCAAUUGGAAAAGUACGUGUCAUCUCAUAGCAUUGGUACAUUCAAGACACAUUAAUGCAUAAACUACUAUCGUCCUAGCAAUGAUGAGAUAGAGGAUAAUUUCUUGGACAAGAAACUCCCAUCUUUGCCUCAUUUGAUUCUAGUGUAUAUAUUGAGUAACUGGUAUUUCAUUGGGGUGGACAAGGUCUGUGACUGUUGUUGUCGACAAGAACUGUCUGGCUUGCUGCAUUCUGAGUGUUCUGACCAUUACUAAUGGCCAUGUGAAGUACGGUAUUUGUUAGUCUGCAUGUUAAUGUGGCAGCUAUGGCAGAACCUAACAUCUGUGGUUGUACUUAGAAAUGUGAGAGCGUUACCUGGGCCAUCAAGCUACACCUGGUACUGAAAUAAUCCAGGUAGCCAAGCAUGGUGUUUGUCCUUUUGUUGGCUAUGUCACAUUACUGGUUGAUGACACUUGAAAGACACCAUGUAUUUGAGACAAUAGCAAAAUCAACAUGGUCCUUAAUACUUCUAAAAUGAUCUGUUGCCAGCCAGCUGACAGUUGUUUGGCUGAAAUUCUUUGUCAACA
This is a long non-coding RNA of Corticium candelabrum, 585 nucleotides long. RefSeq lists it as uncharacterized. NCBI's taxonomy places the organism in Eukaryota, Metazoa, Porifera, Homoscleromorpha, Homosclerophorida, Plakinidae. The transcript is spliced from 3 exons. The record is from RefSeq and is a predicted model, not a curated record.